UUUAAUUCUUAACUGGAAAAUAAAAAUAAAUUUGUAUUAGUUUUUCUAUUUCAUAAAAACUCACUUUUUAUCUGUUCUAAGUAGUUUAUUUUACAUAAAUAUAUAAAUUUUUCAGAAGAACUGAACAUAGAAGUGACAUUAAAGGAAGAUUUGAGAAGACGUGAUGACAGUGAAAACAGCCAGGACCAGGUUGAAGGAAAAAGAAAGAGUGGAAAAACUGACACCCAGCAGUUGCCUACUGAGAAGAAAGAAGAACAUGAUAGGUAAGACUAUGGAAAUAUUUGACCAUAAAUAGUUACUGUUCUGUACAACAAAAUCUAACGUGAGCCUGUAUUUGUGAUUAAGAAGUUAUUUGCUUUUACUAGAGAUACUCAGCUUUGAAUGACUGUCAGAAAAAUACAGACAAUUUAGAUAUCAUUUUUCCAAUUGUCUUGAGAAAUGUUUUUUAAACAUUUGGAUGAAUUAGCCAGUCUGAGGAAACAGACAUCAUUAUGUACUGUUAGUAAGUGAAAUUAUUAAGUGCAUUUGAACAAUUUAAUAGCAUUAAUUAAAUCUCAAUGAUUUCAUUGUUUUAAUCUAAUGCCUUCUCUUAUGAAACUGAAU
RNAcentral lists this long non-coding RNA (603 nucleotides) under Cavia porcellus (domestic guinea pig). RNAcentral describes it as "lncRNA (ENSCPOG00000040087.1)". The record is from RNAcentral. Lineage: Eukaryota; Metazoa; Chordata; Mammalia; Rodentia; Caviidae.